RNAcentral lists this ribosomal RNA (254 nucleotides) under uncultured bacterium. Its description in RNAcentral is "partial 16S ribosomal RNA". It matches the Rfam family "Bacterial small subunit ribosomal RNA", at positions 524 to 776 of the family's 1533-position model. The record is from RNAcentral.
UACGAAGGGGGCUAGCGUUGCUCGGAAUCACUGGGCGUAAAGCGCACGUAGGCGGCUUGUUAAGUCGGGGGGGAAAUCCUGGAGCUCAACUCCAGAACUGCCUUCGAUACUGGCGAGCUUCGAGUCCGGGAGAGGUGAGUGGAACUGCGAGUGUAGAGGUGAAAUUCGUAGAUAUUCGCAAGAACACCAGUGGCGAAGGCGGCUCACUGGCCCGGUACUGACGCUGAGGUGCGAAAGCCAGGGGAGCAAACGGG